Molecule: ribosomal RNA, 589 nt
Filed under: Pustula tragopogonis
Lineage: Eukaryota; Oomycota; Peronosporomycetes; Albuginales; Albuginaceae
Description: LSU rRNA
Rfam family: Eukaryotic large subunit ribosomal RNA
Source: RNAcentral
AAGAGCUCAAGCUUAGAAUCUCCUUGCAGUCUCUGCUCGGCGAAUUGUAGUCUAUUGAGGCGUAGUCAGCGCGCAGGAUCCGGCCAAGUUCCUUGGAAGAGGACAGCAUGGAGGGUUACACUCCCGUCUCUGCCGGCAAAUGCACGCGUACGACACGUCUUCUUUGAGUCGCGUUGUUUGGGAAUGCAGCGCAAAGCAGGUGGUAAAUUCCAUCUAAAGCUAAAUACCUGUGCGAGACCGAUAGCGAACAAGUACCGUGAGGGAAAGAUGAAAAGAACUUUGAAAAGAGAGUUAAAGAGUACCUGAAACUGCUGAAAGGGAAGCGAAUCGCGUCCGCUGUCCACCCACGUUUCAAGAUUGGCGUGGGAGGAGUCAAAGUCAGUUUGGAGUCGAAGGUAAAGUCGACCGUGCGCGUAGCAUGGCUGACUUUCGGGUCUGGCCCUACGAGAAACGUUGUGCGUAGCCUCGAUGACGGACUGAGGCGAUAACAAGCUACCGCGUGCGCUCCGUAAGUUUGUGCGGAGUUCGUAUAGGAUUGGACCCUACCUCCUGGAGAGAUGCACCACUAUAAAUGAGCCGCAUGUACGCG